RNAcentral lists this transfer RNA (76 nucleotides) under Variovorax paradoxus. Its description in RNAcentral is "tRNA-Arg". It matches the Rfam family "tRNA". From Rfam's summary of the family: Transfer RNA (tRNA) molecules are approximately 80 nucleotides in length. The record is from RNAcentral. Lineage: Bacteria; Pseudomonadati; Pseudomonadota; Betaproteobacteria; Burkholderiales; Comamonadaceae. RNAcentral also lists the same sequence under 1 other name.
GCCCUGCUAGCUCAACUGGAUAGAGCAGCCGCCUUCUAAGCGGCAGGUGGACCUUCGACUGGUCCGCAGGGCGCCA